AAGUAGGAAAAGAACUACAUUUCCCAUCUGCCCUGGCUGUCACAGGCUGCUUUCCAUUGCCCUAAGGAGUGAUUCUACUGCGGCAACGAGACCAAAUACAACGAAAGUAUUGAUGCUGCAAAAGAAGACGGAUCUUUUGGUAGGCUGGUUAAUGAUGACCACAAGCACCCAAAUGGCAGAAUGCAGAAGACUGAAGUGGAUGGAAGCCCACAUCUUGGUCUGUUUGCUUUAACAGACUUUAAAGAAGGUGAUGAAAUUACCUGCAAUUACGGAGGAGGAGUCUGGUCUUGGUGCAGCAAGAUUUUCCAAAUGUCUUAAAUAUGCAGAUUAUGGAGGGGGACACUGCUGAGAACAAUGGCCAGGAGAAACAGCAGCCAUCACAGUCUACACCUUUUCUGGAUCAUAAAUAUCAGAAUUGUGUAGUUUGCUGGCACUUUUAAUCCUGCCUUUCAAUCACACCUCUCCAUAAUUUCCAACAUAAGCAUCCACUGGGACUCAGUAGGUUCCCUACUGCAUCUUCUCCAAGAAAACUGAGUACUCUUAGUUACUAUUUGGUACAUAUGCACAAACUGCAGUCAGAGUUUUCAUUCUUGAGACGUGAAAUGUAAGUUCACAGGCUUAAAUUAUACAUGCCUGAUUUUUUUCACAUAUGUAGGACCUCAGGAAAGUGGUGUCCCCACAAUACAUGGGUGGGACUACUGACCCCAGAAUGUUCUAAUUACAAAAAAUUGUGAGUGUGUGUGUGAGUGUGUGUGUGAGUGUGUGUGUGAGUGUGUGUGUGAGUGUGUGUGUGAGUGUGUGUGUGAGUGUGUGUGUGAGUGUGUGUGUGAGUGUGUGUGUGUGUGAGUGUGUGUGUGAGUGAGUGUGUGUGUGAGUGUGUGUGUGAGUGUGUGUGUGAGUGUGUGUGUGAGUGUGUGUGUGAGAGUGUGUGUGAGAGUGUGUGUGAGAGUGUGUGUGAGAGUGUGUGUGAGAGUGUGUGUGUGAGUGUGUGUGUGUGUGAGUGUGUGUGUGAGUGUGUGUGUGUGUGAGUGUGUGUGUGAGUGUGUGUGUGUGUGAGUGUGUGUGUGAGUGUGUGUGUGAGUGUGUGUGUGAGUGUGUGUGUGAGUGUGUGUGUGAGAGUGUGUGUGAGAGUGUGUGUGAGAGUGUGUGUGAGAGUGUGUGUGAGAGUGUGUGUGUGUGUGUGUGUGUUAAAGGUACAGGAGCAGUCUGGCUGUGCAGCUACAGUAAAUGUUAAUGUUAAUAAUAAUAAUAAUAGGACGUUAUUUAAAAGCUCAUACAGCUGAUGUUAUUUUUAUUUAGUAGUUAAUUUAACAUGCUAUGCUAACAUGUAAACAAUAAGAUAAUAUUACCUGACGUACAUUUUACACUCAAUAUUGUCUGUUUCUGUUCUAUUUCACCAACAAAAAUAUUUCCAAACAAAGCCACAGCAGGUCCUGCUCCUUUUUCCUCCUAAUUCCCUCAUUUCUCCACGUUGGGAUUAAUAAAGUAUUAUCUUAUUUCAUCUUUUGUUCAAAUGGGAGAUUUCUUAUUUAUUUUAUUUAUUUUGUUUAUUUUUAAAUAGGAGACUUUUUAAUACUUUUA
Long non-coding RNA from Ictalurus punctatus (channel catfish), 1581 nucleotides. RefSeq lists it as uncharacterized. The record is from RefSeq and is a predicted model, not a curated record. Lineage: Eukaryota; Metazoa; Chordata; Actinopteri; Siluriformes; Ictaluridae. The transcript is spliced from 3 exons.